This 500-nucleotide ribosomal RNA is filed under the name uncultured bacterium. Its description in RNAcentral is "bacterial SSU rRNA". It matches the Rfam family "Bacterial small subunit ribosomal RNA", at positions 16 to 495 of the family's 1533-position model. The record is from RNAcentral.
AUCCUGGCUCAGAAUCAACGCUGGCGGCGUGCCUCAGACAUGCAAGUCGAACGCGAAAGCCCCCUUCGGGGGGCAAGUAGAGUGGCGCACGGGUGAGUAACACGUAGGUAAUCUACCUUUGGAUGGGGAAUAACAACCGGAAACGGUUGCUAAUACCGCAUAAUGCAGCGGCACCUAAUGGUGACAGUUGUUAAAGCGGGGGAUCGCAAGACCUCGCGUCUGAAGAGGAGCCUGCGGCGGAUUAGCUAGUUGGUAGGGUAACGGCUUACCAAGGCGAUGAUCCGUAGCCGGCCUGAGAGGGCGGUCGGCCACACUGACACUGACAUACGGGUCAGACUCCUACGGGAGGCAGCAGUCGGGAAUUUUGGGCAAUGGGCGAAAGCCUGACCCAGCAACGCCGCGUGAAGGAUGAAAUCCCUCGGGAUGUAAACUUCGCAAGAACGGGAAGAAUAAGUCUGCGCAAAUAUCGCAGAUGAUGACGGUACCGUUUGUAAGCUCCG